UUGAGAGCGGCGGACGGGUGAGUAAUGCCUAGGAAUCUGCCUGGGAGUGGGGGAUAACGUCCGGAAACGGACGCUAAUACCGCAUACGUCCUACGGGAGAAAGCAGGGGACCUUCGGGCCUUGCGCUAUCAAAUGAGCCUAGGUCGGAUUAGCUAGUUGGUGGGGUAAUGGCUCACCAAGGCGACGAUCCGUAACUGGUCUGAGAGGAUGAUCAGUCACACUGGAACUGAGACACGGUCCAGACUCCUACGGGAGGCAGCAGUGGGGAAUAUUGGACAAUGGGCGAAAGCCUGAUCCAGCCAUGCCGCGUGUGUGAAGAAGGUCUUCGGAUUGUAAAGCACUUUAAGUUGGGAGGAAGGGCAGUAAAUUAAUACUUUGCUGUUUUGA
Molecule: ribosomal RNA, 387 nt
Filed under: uncultured bacterium
Lineage: Bacteria
Description: bacterial SSU rRNA
Rfam family: Bacterial small subunit ribosomal RNA
Source: RNAcentral